UGGGGAAUUUUGGACAAUGGGCGAAAGCCUGAUCCAGCAAUGCCGCGUGUGUGAAGAAGGCCUUCGGGUUGUAAAGCACUUUUGUCCGGAAAGAAAUCCUUGGCUCUAAUACAGUCGGGGGAUGACGGUACCGGAAGAAUAAGCACCGGCUAACUACGUGCCAGCAGCCGCGGUAAUACGUAGGGUGCAAGCGUUAAUCGGAAUUACUGGGCGUAAAGCGUGCGCAGGCGGUUUGCUAAGACCGAUGUGAAAUCCCCGGGCUCAACCUGGGAACUGCAUUGGUGACUGGCAGGCUAGAGUAUGGCAGAGGGGGGUAGAAUUCCACGUGUAGCAGUGAAAUGCGUAGAGAUGUGGAGGAAUACCGAUGGCGAAGGCAGCCCCCUGGGCCAAUACUGACGCUCAUGCACGAAAGCGUGGGGAGCAAACAGGAUUAGAUACCCUGGUAGUCCACGCCCUAAAACGAUGUCAACUAGUUGUUGGGGGAUUCAUUUCCUUAGUAACGUAGCUAACGCGUGAAGUUGACCGCCUGGGGAAGUACGGUC
RNAcentral lists this ribosomal RNA (542 nucleotides) under uncultured bacterium. Its description in RNAcentral is "partial 16S ribosomal RNA". It matches the Rfam family "Bacterial small subunit ribosomal RNA", at positions 355 to 887 of the family's 1533-position model. The record is from RNAcentral.